Molecule: long non-coding RNA, 2416 nt
Organism: Rana temporaria (common frog)
Lineage: Eukaryota; Metazoa; Chordata; Amphibia; Anura; Ranidae
Exons: 2
Source: RefSeq, a predicted model, not a curated record
AUGUGUUGUCUCCUCCUCUUUGCAGGUCACAUAGGAAUCGCUGUCCCCGAUGUUUACGCUGCUUGUAAGAGGUUUGAAGAACUCGGAGUCACCUUUAUAAAGAAACCCGAUGAUGGGAAGAUGAAAGGAUUAGCGUUCAUUCAGGACCCCGAUGGCUACUGGAUAGAAAUUCUCAGCCCCAACACCAUGAUGUCCAUCGUCUAACGAUCAGACGCCCUCUGCUGGUCGCAUCGCGCCUACGCCUCGCCCCCCCCCCCCCCCCAACACAUCGCCUGGGGUCCCGCCAUUGUUAUAUCAGAUACUUUCUAUGCCCGUUCUUCAUUAAAAGUUAUUUAAGAUCCAGAAUGAGCGGGAAGAACUACAACUCCCAGCAUUCUGGUCGGUGGGAUUAUUUUCAGGCCACGAUUGGUAAAUGUGAUUUCAAUUAAUGUGAACCUGUCAUGGUGGAGGUCGGGGUUCUUCCAACUUGUGUGAAAGCCGUUAUCGGCUGUCUCCAGAGCUCGGCAAUCUGUAUAUACCCGGUGUGGGGGGUGGGUGUGGCUUAACGCCUGGCUACCACUUAUAUUCGUCACAGUUUUGAGGCAACGCUUCAUUGGCGCACCCAAAACUGUGACCCAACUGUCAUGGAUGGCUCGCGGUCCACUACCGAGGAUUAGGAUUGGCUGAACAGUGAUGUCAUCAUCAUCAUGAGCCCAUUCUACUGGCUUAUGGGCCACUACUGCGGAUUGGGGGGCCAAUAGGAUGGGCUCACGAUGACCUCCUUGUUCAGCCAAUCAUAAUCCUCGGUAGUGGACUGUCAGUAGGAUGGGCUCAUGAAGACCUUGUCAUUGUUAUGCCAAUCCUAACCCUCCCCAUCUUUGGUAGUGUACUGUGAACCAGCCAAUCCUAAUCCUCUGUAGUGGGCUCAUUAUGACCUCAUCAUUGUUCAGCCAAUCCUAACCCCUAACAAUCUUUGGUAGUGGACUGUGAACCAGCCAAUCAUAAUCCUCGGUAGUGGGCUGUCGGAAGGAAGGGCUCAUGAUGACCUCAUCAUUGUUCAGCCAAUCCCAAUCCUUGGUAGUGGGCUGUCCAGUAGGAAGGGCUCAUGAUGACCUCAUCAUUGUUCAGCCAAUCCCAAUCCUCGGUAGUGGGCUGUCGGUAGGAAGGGCUCAUGAUGACCUCAUCAUUGCUUAACGCCUGGCCACCACUUAUAUGCGUCAGUCUUUGAGGCAACGCUUCAUUGGUGCCCCCAAAUAAACUGUGACCCAACUGUCAUGGAUGGUUCAUGGUUAACUACCGAGGAUUAGGAUUGGCUGAACAGUGAUGUUGCCAUCAUCAUGAGCCCAUUCUACUGGCUUACGGUCCACUACUGAGGCUUGGGGGGGCCAAUAGGAAGAGCUCAUGAUGACCUACCUCAUCAUUGUUCAGCCAAUCCUCAGUAGUGAAUAGUCGGUAGGAAGGGCUCAUGAUGACCUCAUCAUUGUUCAGCCAAUUCUAACCCUCCCCAUCUUUGGUAGUGGACUGUAAACCAGCCAAUCCUAAUCCUCGGUAGUGGACUGUCCAGUAGGAUGGGCUCAUAAUGACCUCAUUGUUCAGCCAAUCCUAAUCCUCGGUAGUGGACGGUCAGUAGGGUGGACUCACAAUGACCUCAUCAUUGUUCAGCCAAUCCUAACCCCUAAGGGCUUGUUCAUACUUGCUUUGGUCUCCUGAAGAGCGAUCAACAUUCAGAUCACUCUACAGAGGACAUUUGAUAGGUGAUGAAGGAGUUGUUGUUUCACCUCCUCACCGCCUGCUUUGAUUGACGCAAAAGCGCCCCAGAUUUCACACAGUUGUAGGACGCCUACAGAGCAUCCCUAUUCACGUGAAUGGGUCAUGUUCGGCAGGGGCUUCACCCGCCAAAAGCAACAGGGGAGAUAAUUUCUUCUGCGGCAAAUGAACACCUGUAGCCGCUGGAGGGGGGGAGCGAUUAGGGGUGGUAAGAGUGGCCCAACAGCAAGGUUUUACAACUCCGCCCAAACGCGUUGCGGCCAAUAGGCUAGAAUGAAAUGUCACUUUUGAUGUUUUCAUAAAGGUUGCAAUGUGAUGGGGCUGCUUAUAGGGCACACUCAUGGGUGCUGCCCGUAGUGGGCGCUGCCAGUAUGAACAAGCCCUAUAGGGACACGAAUGGGCUGCUUAUAGGGCACACUCGUGGGUGCUGCCCGUAGUGGGCACUGCCAGUAUGAACAAGCCCUAUAGGGACACAAAGUAGCUGAGAAAUCCUUUUUUUUUUUUUUGGAGGGGGAUGUCGGGGGGGCGUAGCUGCAGUAUUAGAGGAGAGAAAUACCAAAUUUUGUGCCUUAUCGGAAGCCACCCUUUAGUGUUCAACCCGCAAUCAUGUGACCGCGCUCAUACGAUCAAACCGCUUCGUCUGUAAAUACCAAUAAAUCUUUGAAAUGAA